This 7383-nucleotide long non-coding RNA is filed under the name Mus musculus (house mouse). RNAcentral describes it as "long non-coding RNA chr14:50061294-50068677". The record is from RNAcentral. Lineage: Eukaryota; Metazoa; Chordata; Mammalia; Rodentia; Muridae.
CUACCAGUCAUAGUUAGGCACAUCACACCAGAGGGUAUUUAAGCAACACGUUUCUGAGCCUUUUCGCCUUUCUCAUCAAGAUGUAAUAAAGGGUAGCCAUGGAAGGAUCUUGUGUCCUGUGUGCAUUCCUGCGGGCAGGGACAAAGCUCAGGACAUUUGGCGCAGAAAACCCGGGACCACCUCACCAUCGGCUAGCGCCAAAGAGAAGGCCCUCUGCUCCAGAGGAGAAGAUACAGAACCAUGGCGGAGGUAAACUCUGAGAGACAUGUACAACAGAUGCCAGAAACAGAGUGGUGUAAAGAGCUCAAAAAAGGGAGCACUUAGAUAGGGGUCAGAGUUGCCCCUGGGAGAGGUAAAGAAGAAGGAGAAAGAGACAAGAGUAGUGGCACACCUUUCAGAGCCCCACGGGCGAGCCGCCGCUUCUGCGGACGUGGGGGAGAAGUGCCAAGGGUGGUGGGGACAAAAGAAGAAAUAGCUGUAAUGUGGGGAGAGGGAGCGGUGCUAUGGCAAGUGCGGGCGGCGAGUGCGGGCAGCCUCUGAAGGGCAAGGGUGCUUGCCUGCACUUCCCUUGCAUCCCGUCUGUUAUUAACUGCUUUCAUUUUAAGAGUUAUCUUUUUUCAGAAGGUUCCACCCUAAGCUGCUAAGUAUCUGCCCGUUUAGGGCUUCUGUCCAAAGGUAAGGAGCAAAAAAGAAAGGCACAAGUCCAACCGUGCUGGCAGCACGCUGCGAAAACUUCUCUACCCGCGCGCAUUCCCCGCCCCUUUUUCCCUGCGUCCUGCGCUCUGGCGGCAGGCGCAGGAAGCAGUACGGUGGAGGCACAUGGCCGGGGACCGGGCUGGGGUCGGCGGAGGACUGCCCCGCUGUCUGGCACCAGGCGCCAAGCGCACUUCCACCAUGGCGGUGCACCACGACUGGCUCCGGGAUGGCUGGGAAGGCCCGGUGGGAAAGUUGGCUCGGGAGGUGGGGCAGCGUGUCUCUGUGCGGUGCCGAACCAUCCCACCCUGAGUGUUACAGCCCCUGGCAACAGCAUUCACAAAAUCCUGGGGCCCAGGAAGCCAGAUGCCUGUCGCCACACUCUCUGCCCAUCCCACUUGCACGGGCUUGACCCUCCCAUGGCGCGACCGCUCUCCCAUCCCCCGCCCCCCUCCCUACAUCUGGCGCUCCGGCGGGAGGCACGUGGGCCGGGCUGGGACCGCCAGGCACACUUCCACCACAACUGGGGAACCGCCACCCCCAAGGAGCUCGUAAGACUUAGAGACAAACGGCGGGGCCCCGCGGCUCCUCGCUGGGCUUGGGCGGGCGUGGGCUUGCUGGGGCCGCCAGGGGCCAGAGGCAGGAGGUGGAGACGCUCGGCUUGCCGCCUGGUCACCUAGGAGCCAGUAGGUGGAGCAGCUAUACAGUAAACAGCCACUGUGCAGCUUAGCUCUAGUUGCCAUUUGAGACACCAAGUUAUAUUCUCUGUCUGUGUAUUGUCUAUUUUUGAUGCAUCAAAAAUUGUCCAUGUGUCUGUCGAUUCGUGUUUGUUUUUCGUUUGAAUGAAUGAAUAAUUGUUGUCUGUGUUUCAUGUUGAGAAAAAAUAAAACAUUAUCUGCUGGCUGUACAGCAGGAAGCACUGUGGCUGGGAAUCAGCUCUUAAAGGGACAGGCAGCCUUUUGCUUGUAACAGAAAGUUAGCUUAAAAUUGGGAACUCGGGCUGGAGUCAUUCUUAACAACAACAACAAAAAAGAAAACAGGUCUUGUGCAAAAUAGGUUUAAAAAGAAAUUACCAGACAUUUGCUCAAAAUGUGGAAAAGAAAGAUAUUAAAUAGAUAAUUACAGAUCAACCAGAGUUAUAACAGAAAGGCCAAUACCUCAGCUUAAAGUGCAACAGCAAAAAACAAACAAACAAACAAACAAACAAACAAACAAACAAAAAACUCAAAUGCAUAGAGCAUUCCAGACACCAUAAAUGGGGUGCCAACCUAUUCCCUCAGAUUUUAGAAGUCCCUUAUUAUGUGUUCUGCACCCCAAGGUAUUGUGGCCAUUUCUCCUGGAGAUCACAUUGUUCAGUUGUUGAUCCCUCCUAGUUUGCAUAACAUGUUCUCUAGUAGCCAGAAUCCCAGAGGAAAUAAAGGACUUGGUUCUACAGGAACUAAUGUGGCCUACAUAUCUUUGGAUUUGGAUAAUCGUCCCACUUUACAAUUACAAAUAGAAGGAAAACUGGUGGCCUGCUUCUUGGCCUGUUAAUCAAUCAUCAAAUAGCUUACAAGGAUUAGGAUAUGAGGCUACCCACCUAUAAGUACAAAAUCUUUACAUUGGAAAGAUAAAGAAGGAAGGUCAGGGCUUUUUCAACUUUAUGUACUCCCUUUACCUGUAUAUCUAUGGGGAAGAGAUUACUCUCAGAAAAGCAAGAAAAUGAUGAGAGAAAUGGAUAUAUACCUGAACUAGGCCUUAGAAACAACUUACAAGGUAGAGUUUCUCCAGUUAAAAAAGCAGCUAAAGAAUUAGUACUAAAAUAAUUAGACCUGGGACAUGUGGAACUCACACAAUCACCCUGAAGUUCCCCUAUUUUCGUUGUAAAGAAGAAAUCAGAUAAGUGGAGAUUGUUACAUGACCUAAGAGCCAUUAAUGCACAAAUGUAAGUUAUGUGUCCUAUACAAAAAGGGCUCUCCCUACUCUCAGCUCUACCUAAGGAUUAGAAAAUUAUAGUGGUGGAUGUUGAAGAUUGUUUCUUUUCCAUUCCAUUAAGUGGAAAAGAUGAACCUAAAUCUGAAUUAACCUUGCCUUCUAUUAAUCAUAUGGAGCCUAAGUAAGGGUAUCAAUGGUGAGUAUUGCCCCAAGGAAUGGUAGGUGGCCCUGCCAUAUGUCAGUUAUAUGUGGAAAAGGCUUUACAGCCAGUUAGAGAUGGUUUCCCCUCUUUAAAGGUAUGCCACUAUAUAAAUGAUAUUGUAAUUUGUGAACCUAAAGAAGAAAAUAUACAGCAAGCCUAUGGCUUGUUUAAUCAAACUUUAAAAAUAAUGGCUUGAUUAUUGCACCAGAAAAGUACAGCAGUCUAUUGUUGGUCAUUUUUUAGGAGCCACCAUUACUUUAUGGUGUGUCACCCCACAAAAGAUUAGUAUAAAAAAAGAUAAUUUAAAGACAUUGAAUAAUUUUUAAAAAUUAUAAAGGAGAUAUAAAUUUGAUUAAACCUUAUUUAAGGAUCCCUACUUCAGAAUUAAAACCUUUAUUUCAAAUUUUAAAAGGAGAAUCACACAUUACCUCAUUGAAACAACUAACACCUGAGGCUUCUAAAACUCUUAGGAAGGUGGAAACAGCUAUCCAAAAGGCACAGUUGAGUCAUAUAAAUGAGCAAGAACCUUCAUGCCUAUGCAUAUUACGAACCAUAAAUUUGCCAACUGCUAUGUUAUGGCAAGAUGGUCCUUUAGUAUGAAUACAUCCACAUUUAUCCCCUAAUAAGACUAUAGAGCAUUAUCCCACCAUGGUGGCAAAUAUGGCCCAUAAAGGUAUUAAAAGUUCUAUUACUCACUUAAAAAAAAUGCCUGGUAGCAUAAUUAUUCCAUAUGCUGCUACAUAAAUGCAAAUAUUGUGUGCUACUAUAGAUAAAUGGACCAGUCUUAGAUACAGUUAUUCUGGUUUAAUAAAUAAUCAUUAUCCUAAACAUCCUUUAUUAUCUUUCCAAAGGUGAUGGCUAUUACCCCUAUAAAGGGAGCUACUGAUAUUUAUACAGAUGGAUCCAAAACAGGAAUUGGAAAUUAUGUGAUUAAUGGAAAAGCUGUGAGGUUUCAAUUUACACCAAGAGCCCCUCAACUGGUGGAAUGUUUGGUGGUUUUAAAAGUUUUUAAAAAGGAUUCCUUAUGCCCAUAAAUAUUAUCUCUGAUUCUGUUUAUGUAGUUAAUGCUGUAUUAACAUUAGAGACUGCCAAAAAUUUUAAACAGUCUAGUUCAGUAUCUAAAAUUUUGAUGAAAAUACAAGAUUGCAUUUUAAUGUGUGAGCAUCCCUUUUAUAUUCAACAUAUUAGAGCAUAUACAUCUUUACCUAAACCUAUGGUCAAGGAAAAUGCAAUUGCUGAUUCAGCCGCCAGAGAUACGGUUUUCCUAUCAUAAAGUUCUAUAAAAGGUGCUAAAAUUUUUCAUUAACUUUAUCAUGUUCAUGCUUCUACAUUACGACAAAAGUUUAGGCUCACAUGAACAGAAGCUCGAGAUAUUGUUCUACAGUGAGGUAAAUGUGUAAAAUUUAUUAACACACCUUCUGUGGGCGUUAAUCCUCUGGAUUGUGACCCCCUAGAUGUUUGGCAGAUGGAUGUGACUUACAAUAUGUACAUGUGUCCAUCGAUACCAGCUCUGGUGUCCUAUAUGCCUAUCCCUUGACAGGAAAAAAAGAAGUUCAUGUCAUAUCCCACUGCUUAGAUGCUUGGAUUACAUGGGGCAAGCCUCUAGUGCUGUAGACAGACAAUGGUCCUACAUAUACCUCUUCUAAAUUUAGUCAAUUUUGCAAACAAAUGCAAGUGAAACAUAUUACUGGAUUGCCCUAUAAUCCACAGGGCCAAGGCAUCACUGAAAGAGUUCAUCAUACCUUGAAACAAUAUUUUCAAAAACAAAGGGGGAAUAGAGGCUAUGACACCAAACGUGGCUCUAUCCCUUGCAAUAUUUGCUUUUAAUUUUUUAAAAUUGGAUGAUGCUGGGAGAUCACCAACUGAAAGGCACGGACAAUGGCCUCAAUCACCCAAUGAAAUGGUCAAAUGGAAAAAUGUCCUUGAUAAUAAAUAGUAUGGCCCGGAUCCUAUCUUAAUCAGAUCCCGGGGAGAUAUUUGUGUUUUUUCCACAGGAUGAAGAAAAUCUACUUUGGGUCCUGAUGCGACUGACAAGGACCGUGAAAGAGCAAUAUGAAUUCCAAGAUGAUCCUGUUAUUCUUACUCCUGACGAUUGAGACCGGGAUAAGUAUACCCUUGUGGGCCAAAGUAAAGAUCAUGGCCAGUUCCUUUACCGGUACAAUCCAAUUCUUCUACCUAGUCUUUACUUUUUGCAAAGGAAUGUUUUUUAGAUGUGCCUUAUGCACGACAAACUCCUCAAGAGACAUGGGUUUAUAAGAGUACUAGUUUUCAUUUAAAUUAUACACUAUGCUUUGUGCAUAAUGUGGAUAAACCUUUUAUACCCUAUAUAUUUUUAAAGAAAAAGAUUAUCGCUAAUUGGGCAGAUCCCAUUAUCCAAAAUAAAGUGAGCUCUGGAGUGUUAUUUAAUGCUUUAAUGCAAACUGCUCAAGGGCCACAACCAAGAUCAGGUGAUGUUAAAAAUAAUGUAACUUCAUAUAUAAACAUCACCACUAUCAUGAUAAAGGGAAAUGUGACUAUUCCCAAAAGAUCACGAUAGCCUGUUGGCAAUGCUACUGCUAUAUGCAGCAUACCUUGGUCAUUCAGACCUCGCAUUUCCUGUAGUAUUUUUACCUUGUCAAUCAAAUGUUUUUCCUCAAAAAGAAUUAGCAAAGGGUUUCGUUUUGUCAUCACCAUUAGACUAUGCUGUAAGGUAUGAUAAAGGAGAUGCUACAGGGAAAGAAAAUAUUUGGCCAUAUUACCAAUGGAUUUUAAGUAAUGAGAUAGAUGCUAGUACCAGUUUGUCAACCUUUGCACUGUUGACUGGAACCUUUGAUGAGAUAUUGAAUGUUUCUGCCACACUUUCCAAUAUCUCUACUCAUUUGGAUAAUGUGACAUCUAAUAGUUAUUAGAAAUAUGACUACUCCUCCAAUAAAAGUCUGUUUCAAUUUUCAUUUUUCUUUAUAUUGGCUAAAUUUCAAUAUAAUACAGAAUGGUUAGAUUAUACAAAUGCCAAUUGUUUUAUGACACAAUGCUGGAAUGAAACUAAAUUCUUAGCCUUAAUGGUACAUUUACCAACCUUUGUCCCUGUGCCUGUUGAGGCAGAUCCAAGAAGUUCCCAAUCAUGAGUAUUGUCCGGCAGAAGAGAGAUUUUGGAAUCACAGCCGCCACUGUUACUGCCAUUGCAGUGUCCGCAGCAUCCAUGGUUACUGCAGAAAUUGCUAUGGCCUAUCAAGUCAAUACUGCUGAUACCAUAAGUCAGAUAACAGAAAAACGUCUGAGGCAUUGCUUACCCUGCAAAGGGUGGAUUCUCAUACUGCCUCAGGAUUAAUGUUAGUGAAUCAAAGAGUAGGUAUUUUACAAUAUAACAUGGAACAGAUGAUAGAUAUCAUACAAAUGAGUUGUGUGGCAUCAACUUUACAGAUGUGCAUUACUCCUGUUAGGUAUACUAAUAAUUCUUUUAUAGGUUGCAGACAAAGCUGCAGAUACAGAUCCUGAACCUUAUUGGAACCAGAGUGGAACCAGUGACCCUUAGAGACUUCACCUCUUGACUUACCUUUGCAUUUUUCUCACUUCAAAGAAUGGGUGGGGGUGGCCCUGUUCGGCACAACCCUGUGUUGUGGACUAGUGUUUAUUCUAUGGCUGGUUUGCAAACUCAGAUCUCAGCAGAAACGUGACAAGGGGGUAAUUGCUCAAGCACUUGCUGCCAUAGAGCAAGGCACCUCCCCUGAAAUUUGGUUAUCUAUUCUCAAGAAUUAGUCAGCAUCUGAGUUCUCUGCCUUUGCAUCCCACGGGUUUGUGGAUACAUUGCAUUGGGAUGAGAAAAACUCAAGGAUCAUUGAUCAGCCCUUGUGCACCGCUGAGGUUUCCUCUUUGCAUGCGAUAGGGUGAUCAUGAUUUUCCCACUAAUUCAUUUUUUGCUGGCCUCUUUUGUAGAGUUCACCCUAGCCCAUUUAGCAGUUAUUGUCACACAGCACUGUGGUAUCCAGAGACGGGCAACUUUCCUCGUGCACAGACCAACCUAAGACAAUGGGGCCCAGUGGUGAUAGGGUUACCCGGGUAAGGCUGUGAUAUUAGAGGAACGACCUAAAACAGGGGCCACAGCAGAUGGACGUAACUACAGAGGCCUUGACCAGCCUCAUUUUUAUAAAACAUAAAGGGGGAGAUGUGGAGAGCCGCAAUAACAUUUACCAUCAUAAGAUGGUGCUGGCUCCGCAGUGCCUUAUGCCACCUAAACAAAGAACAAGCUAUAUGUGCAUGUGCUAGGAGCAAAAGCCCGCCAAAAGUCACUAGCCCACCCUGGGGCUUGGGAGAUCAUGGGUGGAGCUACCAGUCAUAGUUAGGCACGUCACACCAGAGGGUAUUUAAGCAACACGUUUCUGAGCCUUUUCACCUUUCUCGUCAAGAUGUAAUAAAGGGUAGCCAUAGAAGGAUCUUUUGUCCUGUGUGCAUUCCUGCGGGCGGGGACAAAGCUCAGGACACAAAACUAGGCAGUACAAUUGACCCUUUGUCAACUUGACACACAAACACAUCACUAAUAAGCCUCAACCCUUAGUUUCUUAUUCAUCCCCAAGAUCUAAACAACUUUAAAAGUCCCA